RNAcentral lists this ribosomal RNA (427 nucleotides) under uncultured bacterium. RNAcentral's name for it is "bacterial SSU rRNA". It matches the Rfam family "Bacterial small subunit ribosomal RNA", at positions 28 to 410 of the family's 1533-position model. The record is from RNAcentral.
GAUGAACGCUGGCGGCGUGCCUAAUACAUGCAAGUCGAACGCAUUGUGGUUGAAAUGAUAUGAAGAACUUGUUCAGAUUUGAUUUUCAACAUUGCAAUGAGUGGCGAACGGGUGAGUAACACGUGGGAAACCUACCUCUUAGCAGGGGAUAACAUUUGGAAACAAAUGCUAAUACCGUAUAAUAAUUAAAACCGCAUGGUUUUAGUUUAAAAGAUGGUCUUGCUAUCACUAAGAGAUGGUCCCGCGGUGUAUUAGUUAGUUGGUGAGGUAAAUGGCUCACCAAGACAAUGAUACAUAGCCGAGUUGAGAGGAACUGACCGGCCACCAAUGGGACUGAGACACGGCCCAUACUCCUACGGGAGGCAGCAGUAGGGAAGUCUUCCCACAAAUGGACGAAAGUCUGAUGGAGCAACGCGCGUGUGUGAUG